RNAcentral lists this ribosomal RNA (421 nucleotides) under uncultured bacterium. RNAcentral's name for it is "bacterial SSU rRNA". It matches the Rfam family "Bacterial small subunit ribosomal RNA", at positions 508 to 927 of the family's 1533-position model. The record is from RNAcentral.
UCAGCCGCCGCGGUAAUACGAAGGGUGCAAGCGUUACUCGGAAUUACUGGGCGUAAAGCGUGCGUAGGUGGUUUGUUAAGUCUGAUGUGAAAGCCCUGGGCUCAACCUGGGAAUUGCAUUGGAUACUGGCAGGCUAGAGUGCGGUAGAGGAUGGCGGAAUUCCCGGUGUAGCAGUGAAAUGCGUAGAGAUCGGGAGGAACAUCUGUGGCGAAGGCGGCCAUCUGGACCAGCACUGACACUGAGGCACGAAAGCGUGGGGAGCAAACAGGAUUAGAUACCCUGGUAGUCCACGCCCUAAACGAUGCGAACUGGAUGUUGGGAGCAACUAGGCUCUCAGUAUCGAAGCUAACGCGUUAAGUUCGCCGCCUGGGGAGUACGGUCGCAAGACUGAAACUCAAAGGAAUUGACGGGGGCCCGCACA